CAUGGCCCUGAACUUGAGAUUCUCCUGCUGCACAGCUUCUGGAGUGCUGGGAUUAUAGGUCUAUGUGUGCACUACACCUGGCUUAACAGUAGAUUCCUAGUUUCUAUUGCUAGGUCAGUAAAAAUUCUGGACCCUGAAUAGCAGCAAGCAGGGACUUUUGAUUCCAGUGUUGGCCUGUUUACUGUUUAGCCCCAAGCUUAGAGCUGAGGUGUGACAGAUCUUUCCCAUGAUGUAAGAGAAAGUGGGGAAGGUGCUAGAGCCUCGGGGUGCCGAGGCAAGCCUGGCAAAGGAGCUUCCACAGUGCUCUGUCUCAGUCUUCAGACUGCCUGUGUGCAGCUGUCCUCUGAGCUCCGUGUCCUGGGGGAGCCGCUUUGCUGCACCUCACAGUUCUUUGCCCACAGCUCUAGGCCAGUGAUGUCUGUGACCAGCUGUGAACCACCCAAGGCUCGGGGACAGAGUGCACCCAACUCGACAAGCUGCCCAGCCUGUCCCUGUUGCUGGGAGCAUGACGGGUCCUACCUUUUCCUCACGUGACACCCCUGUGCCUGCACCCGAGUCUGUCUCUUUGGGUUGCAUUUCCAGGACCGUGCGGAACAGCUUCUCGGAGGUGACAGUAAGGAAGCCAAUCUCUGCGUUGGGGUGCAGGCCGUACAGCAUCUCCACACGGAUGUACUCUGCCAGGUAGGUCCUGCACAGCCGGCGGUCCCAGUCAUCCGUGAUGUGUCCUCCAUACAUGAUUUCACCGAAAAGGUAGCGGAGAUCAUCCCAGGGUACCUUAGAAGGGGGAGGGGAAUGUGAGGAGCGCCCCACCCCCACCCUCUGCCACUCAUACCAGUGAGGCUAGAAAGCUCAGCAGGGUCUGCUCCCAGGUUGCUUUCCUUCAGGCUAGCCCCUCUGAGACUCUGCUUUGGCUAUGGUUUUAGGCUGACUCCAGCCUCAUUUCCUCCAUAGGGACAUCUUGGCUCCUGCUGGUGCCCCAGGGGUCACAGGCCACCCGCUCCUUCCUGGUUCCCUGGGCUCUGUCAGCCUCAACAUCAGUCUGCAUUCUAUGUAACAUCUGGAUUCUGCUCUUGAGAGUCGGUGCUGGCCCCCGCAUCUUCCAUUGGCUAAAAGUCCAGUCAAUUGCAUGUCUGAUGUGGACCAGUGGGUCUCCUGGCCCAUGGGAACCUCUGUGGCCUCUGCCCAGUGGCUGUCUCUUGUGGAGCUGUGCAGGUCUCUGUGGGAGCUGGGUGCUCGCUCACAAGUCUAGCCAGAACCUUGGCUCCGUGGGCUUCUGGAGAAGAUGUAUGCACUCAUAGCCUGGCACUGGCUGUCCCAUUGGGUGAGGUGGGCUUUCCAUCCUGUCUUGUUUCCCUUCAGCCUACCUUCUGCCCAGCUCCACGUCCCCCGCCCUAGAAUCACUGGCCAAGAUACGCAUGGUCUUUCAGAGCCUGGGUGACCCUUUAUCCACAAAGCCUGGAGCUUCGUUCGGCAUGUAGCCUGUUCCUGCUGCCCACAGCAGCCUGAGGAAGGGCAGGGAGCCGCGUCUGCAUAUUUUCAUUUCCUGGCAGCCACUUGACGCAAAGUUGGUGGCUCUCUGACCUGUGACAGGCCAGCCGUGUUCCGGAGGCACUCUUUCUGGGUGGCUGAGCCUGUGGACGGUACCUCUGCACCCCGGCUCUCGGAGCUGCUGUAGGACUGUGCCACUCAUGUCUGCACAGCCAGCUGCAGCUUGUACACAGAUGCCCUUUCUCCAGGGACGGUGGCUGGCACUUCUGUAACUACCACAGUGCCCUGCCUGAGAGCUUUUGGUGGAAUUCUGGUGAAAUUGGUUGAUUAACCAUUUGUCUUACUUAGCCUUGUGAACUCUCAUUCAAAAUACAAGGGUGCUCUGAAUUCUCA
Arvicola amphibius (Eurasian water vole) is the source of this 1881-nucleotide long non-coding RNA. RefSeq lists it as uncharacterized. Lineage: Eukaryota; Metazoa; Chordata; Mammalia; Rodentia; Cricetidae. The transcript is spliced from 2 exons. The record is from RefSeq and is a predicted model, not a curated record.